UGGGGAAUUUUGCACAAUGGGGGAAACCCUGAUGCAGCGACGCCGCGUGAUUUAGAAGGCCUUCGGGUUGUAAAAAUCUUUUCUAUGGGAAGAAAAUGACAGUACCAUAGGAAUAAGGACCGGCUAAUUACGUGCCAGCAGCCGCGGUAAUACGUAAGGUCCGAGCGUUGUCCGGAAUCAUUGGGCGUAAAGGGUACGUAGGCGGGUAAGCAAGUUAGAUGUGAAAUCCUAUAGCUCAACUAUAGUAAGCUUUUAAAACUGCUCAUCUUGAGGUAUGGAAGGGAAAGUGGAAUUCCUAGUGUAGCGGUGAAAUGCGCAGAUAUUAGGAGGAAUACCGGUGGCGAAGGCGACUUUCUGGCCAUAACCUGACGCUGAGGUACGAAAGCGUGGGUAGCAAACAGG
RNAcentral lists this ribosomal RNA (402 nucleotides) under bacterium. RNAcentral describes it as "partial 16S ribosomal RNA". It matches the Rfam family "Bacterial small subunit ribosomal RNA", at positions 355 to 776 of the family's 1533-position model. The record is from RNAcentral.